Molecule: long non-coding RNA, 774 nt
Filed under: Musa acuminata (dwarf banana)
Lineage: Eukaryota; Viridiplantae; Streptophyta; Magnoliopsida; Zingiberales; Musaceae
Description: long non-coding RNA (MACU_LNC001695)
Source: RNAcentral
GAAAUUCGUCCAUUAAAUUGCUACGACGAUUAAGUUUGUAAACAUCACUUCAAACAAGAAGAAGCCUUUGGAAAUUACUACGUCUUCCAUAGUCGGACUGUGCCUUCCAGCUUGCUUCCUGUGUUGUGCUACAUCGGCCUCGCACUCCCAUGGCACAUGCGGCCUGCAUAUGGAGCAUUUAACUCUCGUCUGCUUCGCAUAUGGCCAUAUUCAUUGGUGUCUUCCUUCACAGCUUAGCUUCAGGUAUGGUAAAGCAGUGACUCCCAAGUACUACAGUUUAGUUAUAGCUUUCACGUAAAGUUCAAUCAACUUGAAAGUUGUCUGCUCCUCUUCUUGCUACUCCUAGGAAAUAAUAGCAGCCUUUAUUAUGUGAUUGAAUCGUUCAGUGUCCUGUGAGCUCCAACAACCUUGCAGUCUUUUAUGGAGAGCAUACUGCAUCUUGAUGGGAGUAGGACAAAGUUACUAUCAUCUAAAGUGAAAAAGAGAUCAAAAGUCAUUUAUGGAGCAAAAGGGCAAAGGAGCACUAAAUUCUGUCUACUUUAUUGGGAAGGGAAGAUCGCUUCUUUCAUUUACGCCAAACUUGAAUGCAUCAUGGCACAAAGAAAGAGAAAGAACUCCCUACCGACAUGCAGACAGUGAGAUGCAGCAGUUGGAGAUGGGCAAGAAGAACCCAUCAUCACUCUACUGAAGAACUUUGGAAGUUGGAACUGCGAACAACAAACUUGUGAUCAGGAGAACCGAUCGAAGCUUAUGUUUCUGGCGAACCAAAGCUUC